Molecule: unclassified non-coding RNA, 232 nt
Filed under: Hevea brasiliensis (rubber tree)
Lineage: Eukaryota; Viridiplantae; Streptophyta; Magnoliopsida; Malpighiales; Euphorbiaceae
Source: RNAcentral
GCUAAUAUGAUGAGAUUUUUAUUUUUAAUUGCCCCCUAGUUAUUUAGGCUAAAUGAAAAUAUUGGGCACUCUUGGCCAUAGUUGCCAUAGUUAUUAAAGGCUCAAGGCACACUAAGNNNNNNAUGCCAAGGGGUCCUGGAGCUUAGGCACAAGGUGCAAGGCAAAGACGCGCCUAAGCAAGGUGAGGCGCAAAAAAAUAAUAAAAAUAAAUAAAAUUUAAAGUAAAAUAAAU